This 492-nucleotide ribosomal RNA is filed under the name uncultured bacterium. Its description in RNAcentral is "partial 16S ribosomal RNA". It matches the Rfam family "Bacterial small subunit ribosomal RNA", at positions 29 to 507 of the family's 1533-position model. The record is from RNAcentral.
AGUGAACGCUGGCGGCAGGCCUAACACAUGCAAGUCGAACGGCAGCACAGUAAGAGCUUGCUCUUACGGGUGUCGCGCGGCGGAAGCGUGAGGAAUACAUCGGAUUCCACUUCUACGUGGGUGAUAACGUAGGGAAACUUCUGCUAAUACCGCAUAUGACCUACGUGUGUAAGCAGGCGUUCUUUGAACUUUGUGCUAUUGUAUAAGCCGAUGUCGGAUUAGCUAGUUGGCGGGGUAAAGGCCCACCAAGGCGACGAUCCGUAGCAGGUCUGAGAGGAUGAACAGACACACGGGAACAGAGACACGGUCCAGACUCUGACGGGGGGCAGCAGUGGGGAAUAUUGCACAAUGGGCGAAAGCCGGAUCCAGCCAAACCGCGUGAGUGAUGAAGGACUUCGGGUUGGUAAGCCAUGUUGUUGGGAAAGAAGAGCAGCAGGUUUAUACGCGACUAUACUGACGGUACCCAAAGAAUAAGCACCGGCUAACUUCGUG